CUGCCCACCAUGGUGUUUUCGUGUCUGAUCUGCAGAGCACCGUGGGCUCCCGGAUCUUGCCCCUCUGCCGUGUCUAGUGAAGAUUAUGAUGCGACUUCUCCACAUAAUCGCCUCCUCUUUCAGAGCGCUGCACUUGGAUGACCAGAUCAGCCAUCCUGUGACCUCGCAGUGGGAGAGAGCGCACCUGGCUGAACAACUGCACGUUCAGACGAGGCACCUAGCGGCCAGAGGCCGCUAACUAGUACUGAGGGCCCUAACUAGUACUGAGUUACGCAGCCGUUUUAAAGCCUUCAUCUGUGGCAUUGUAGACACAGAUCAUCCAGCAUUGCUCUCAGCCUGUGGUCCUGAAUAUACUGAGUCACACGUGACCAGCCUGCUCUACUUGAUCUAAUUGACACUUCUUGGGAGACUGAGGCAGGAGGAUCACAAAUGUGAGGCACUUAGCGAGACCCAGCCUCAAAAUAAAAUGGGCUGCCGCUGUAGCUCCCUGGUGAAGCACUUGCCUGGCAUAGCGAGGCCCUGGGCCCGGCCCCAGCACUGAAAAGACAACAAGGGUGCGUGCCCUAGAUACGCCUGCGCUCACAGUUCCCAGCGAGCAGAAGCGCCUGGAGCCUUCCUGCGCCCCAGCGGGCUGCAGGCGGGGGCUGGAGGAGUGCAGUCUGUCUGACCCUCGGCAGCAGCCCUCGGACACCAGCAGUGGCCAGAGGCGAAGCCGGCCUUCCAGAAGAUUCCCUGGUUUCAGCAUUGCCCCCUGGUGGCAAGAAUCCAGGCCCAAAAGGAAAAUGCUUGGCACUGCGGAGUUUUGGAAGCCUCACUAGGCCCCUGUGAGAGCAAGCUGUCUCGGAGUCCUGCACCAGUCACAGCCCUGCAGCUGCUGUGUAAGCAGCAUUCCCCACAGCCUCAGCUAGUCUAGAGGGCUACCUCUGGGGUACUGGCUAUGUGCAGCACAGGCCCUGUUAAAAUAAAGACUUGCCUGGUGGUCCUGUAAAACUGCUUGUGAUGUAUUUGUUGGCUUGUGUGGGCUCCAAAAUUUCUGUAAAUCUACUGGGAUUCCUGUCCUGAGUAGGGUGGACACGUCGGUCAUCUCAAGAGAAGGAGCAAUGAGCACUUGGGGCUGUUAGCCCUGAAGAGCUGGAGACCAGCCGUCAAGGAGGAUCGGCAGCAGAGGCCGGACGCAGCAUACCCGGCCUGUGGUGUCCAGCACAGGGCUGCUAACAGAGGUGCACUUUGCCCGUUCAUGAUUUCUAUCUGAAUGGAGCAAAAGAACCCUGGCGACUGGCAACAAACCACG
RNAcentral lists this long non-coding RNA (1291 nucleotides) under Chinchilla lanigera (long-tailed chinchilla). RNAcentral's name for it is "lncRNA (ENSCLAG00000026610.1)". Lineage: Eukaryota; Metazoa; Chordata; Mammalia; Rodentia; Chinchillidae. The record is from RNAcentral.